UUGAAGAGGAGGUGCUCUGUAGC
This 23-nucleotide microRNA is filed under the name Homo sapiens (human). RNAcentral describes it as "hsa-miR-4709-3p". The record is from miRBase by way of RNAcentral. Lineage: Eukaryota; Metazoa; Chordata; Mammalia; Primates; Hominidae.